Long non-coding RNA from Anguilla rostrata (American eel), 387 nucleotides. RefSeq lists it as uncharacterized. The transcript is spliced from 2 exons. NCBI's taxonomy places the organism in Eukaryota, Metazoa, Chordata, Actinopteri, Anguilliformes, Anguillidae. The record is from RefSeq and is a predicted model, not a curated record.
UCAGGAGGUAAGAACGAUUGUCUGGCAGUCGGAGGGUUGCCUGUUCAAACCCCGGCCUGGGCGUGUCGAAGUGUCCUUGAGCAAGACACCUAACCCCUAACUGCUCUGGCGAAUGAGAGGCAUCAAUUGUAAAGCGCUUUGGAUAAAAGUGCUAUAUAAAUGCAGUCCAUUUACCAUUUACAACACUUUCUUUCUUUCUUUCUUUAAAAUAAAACAGGUUGAUAAACAUAUAGCAGACAGGUUGAUAAAUAUAUAGCAGACAGGUUGAUAAACAUAAAGCAGACAGGUUGAUAAAUAUAUAGCAGACAGGUUGAUAAAUAUAUAGCAGACAGGUUGAUAAAUAUAAAGCAGACAGGUUGAUAAAUAUAUAGCAGACAGGUUGAUAAA